RNAcentral lists this ribosomal RNA (488 nucleotides) under Escherichia coli. Its description in RNAcentral is "partial 23S ribosomal RNA". It matches the Rfam family "Bacterial large subunit ribosomal RNA", at positions 2159 to 2646 of the family's 2925-position model. The record is from RNAcentral. Lineage: Bacteria; Pseudomonadati; Pseudomonadota; Gammaproteobacteria; Enterobacterales; Enterobacteriaceae.
GAAGUGUGGACGCCAGUCUGCAUGGAGCCGACCUUGAAAUACCACCCUUUAAUGUUUGAUGUUCUAACGUUGACCCGUAAUCCGGGUUGCGGACAGUGUCUGGUGGGUAGUUUGACUGGGGCGGUCUCCUCCUAAAGAGUAACGGAGGAGCACGAAGGUUGGCUAAUCCUGGUCGGACAUCAGGAGGUUAGUGCAAUGGCAUAAGCCAGCUUGACUGCGAGCGUGACGGCGCGAGCAGGUGCGAAAGCAGGUCAUAGUGAUCCGGUGGUUCUGAAUGGAAGGGCCAUCGCUCAACGGAUAAAAGGUACUCCGGGGAUAACAGGCUGAUACCGCCCAAGAGUUCAUAUCGACGGCGGUGUUUGGCACCUCGAUGUCGGCUCAUCACAUCCUGGGGCUGAAGUAGGUCCCAAGGGUAUGGCUGUUCGCCAUUUAAAGUGGUACGCGAGCUGGGUUUAGAACGUCGUGAGACAGUUCGGUCCCUAUCUGCC